UUUAUUGUUUCCCCUCCAGGCCCUCUUCCUCUUUUUUCUCCCUUCCUCUUUUCCUCCCUCCCUCUCUUUUUUCCUUUCUCCCUUCCUUCCUUCCUUCCUUCCUUCCUUCCUUCCUUCCUUCCUUCCUUCCUUCCUUCCUUCCUUCCUUCCUUCCUUCCUUCCUUCCUUCCUUCCUUCUCUUUCUCCUUUUAUUCUUCCUUCUCUCUUCCUUCCCUUUUUCCCUCCCAUUCAGGUUCUCCUUCCUGUUCUCUUCCUUUCCCCCCCUCCUUUUCUCCUUUUCUUUUUUAUCUUGCUUUCUUUCUUUCAUCCUUCCUCCCCUCCUUUCUCCCUCACCCAUCUUUGACAACAGACCUGGCACAUAAUAAGUAUUUAAUACAUGUUCUAUCUAACCACCUACCUAUCCUCACUCUCUUUCUCUCUUUCUUUCAUCUUCCUCACUUCCUCUCCUUUUCUUCUUUCCUUCUCUCUUCUUCCUCUCUCUCUCUUUUCCCUUUUUCUAUUCUUACUUUCUUUGUCUCUCUCUCCUCCCUCUCUCUCAGUCUCUCUGUCUCUGUCUCUCUGUCUCUCUUCUCUCUCUCUCUCUCUCUGCCUCUCUCUGUCUCUCUGCCUCUUUGUCUGUCUGUCUGUCUCUCUCUGUCUCUCUCUCUGUCUCUGACUCUCUCUCUCUCUCUGCCUGUCUCUCUCUCUAUCUAUCUAUCUAUCUAUCUAUCUAUCUAUCUAUCUGUCUGUCUCUGUGUGUGUGUCUCUGUGUGUCUCUCUGUCUCUCUCUUUCUCUCUCUCUCUUACAUAUACACAUACCCCACAGCUAUACUCUCCCUCUGCUUUUUCCCCACUCCUGACUCCCAUGGACUGAAAGAUUUGGUAACUCUACUCAGGUUUUACCAGUAGAAAAACGUGAGAAGGUUGGAAGGGAAGUCCACUGGGUGUAAUCUACUCUGGCCUCACACUCCCCUAGGGAUAACUCUGUCUAUAGACACAUUGCCAAACUCCAGUCACAAGCUUAGGCACUGGCAAUUAUUGACAGCACACCAGCAUCCAUCAAAGAUUAGGGGCUUGUGAGCUUUUCUUUUGUGUAAUUCUUGGUCAAAUUAUCUCAUAUACAUAGCAAGUGUCAGGCAGUGGUUUCUUUCCUCAACAAGGAGCAACAGUGACCCUAAACCUCCCAUCUCUCCCUCUCUCUCUCCCUCUCUCUAUCUCUCUCUCUCUCC
Molecule: long non-coding RNA, 1208 nt
Filed under: Monodelphis domestica (gray short-tailed opossum)
Lineage: Eukaryota; Metazoa; Chordata; Mammalia; Didelphimorphia; Didelphidae
Description: lncRNA (ENSMODG00000050943.1)
Source: RNAcentral